Long non-coding RNA from Brienomyrus brachyistius, 412 nucleotides. RefSeq lists it as uncharacterized. The transcript is spliced from 3 exons. The record is from RefSeq and is a predicted model, not a curated record. NCBI's taxonomy places the organism in Eukaryota, Metazoa, Chordata, Actinopteri, Osteoglossiformes, Mormyridae.
CUUGGUAAUCAUGGAGCCAGUGGGUAGCAUUGCCACCUCGUAUCUCUGGGACUUGAGUCCUGCCCUGACUUAGUGUACGAUUUCUCCUGUAAUCCAAUGACAAAAUCGGCAUUCCUAAAUUGUGCAAAGAGGCCUUCGGGAAUAAACAGCAGUAGAGCAGAGAUGAAACCAGGUCAGUACUAGAUGUACAGCAACGUUCCCAUUUCCGCGGGUGAUCCGGUCCAUCACCUACCACAGAUGUCCAAAACCGCGGAUAACAGCAAACCAUCCACGGACCACGUGAAAGGGGAUUCUGAUGUUUUAGCCUAAUUCUUAACAGGAUACAGCAAUGAAAAUCAUGCUUUUAAUACAUUUGUGUAAUACCGACACUGAGAUAACAAGGCAAUGAAUGCGAUCGGUGUGAAAGCUAGAG